GGGCGGGGAUUAGUGGCGAACGGGUGAGUAACACGUGGGCAAUCUGCCCUGCACUCUGGGACAAGCCCUGGAAACGGGGUCUAAUACCGGAUAUGACCGUCUGCCGCAGGGUGGAUGGUGUAAAGCUCCGGCGGUGCAGGAUGAGCCCGCGGCCUAUCAGCUUGUUGGUGAGGUAGUGGCUCACCAAGGCGACGACGGGUAGCCGGCCUGAGAGGGCGACCGGCCACACUGGGACUGAGACACGGCCCACACUCCUACGGGAGGCAGCAGUGGGGAAUAUUGCACAAUGGGCGAAAGCCUGAUGCAGCGACCCCGCGUGAGGGAUGACGGCCUUCGGGUUGUAAACCUCUUUCAGCAGGGAAAAAGCGAAAGUGACGGUACCUGCAAAAGAAGCGCCGGCUAACUACGUGCCAGCAGCCGCGGUAAUACGUAGGGCGCAAGCGUUGUCCGGAAUUAUUGGGCGUAAAGAGCUCGUAGGCGGCUUGUCACGUCGGUUGUGAAAGCCCGGGGCUUAACCCCGGGUCUGCAGUCGAUACGGGCAGGCUAGAGUUCGGUAGGGGAGAUCGGAAUUCCUGGUGUAGCGGUGAAAUGCGCAGAUAUCAGGAGGAACACCGGUGGCGAAGGCGGAUCUCUGGGCCGAUACUGACGCUGAGGAGCGAAAGCGUGGGGA
This 670-nucleotide ribosomal RNA is filed under the name Streptomyces albus. RNAcentral's name for it is "bacterial SSU rRNA". It matches the Rfam family "Bacterial small subunit ribosomal RNA", at positions 83 to 767 of the family's 1533-position model. Lineage: Bacteria; Bacillati; Actinomycetota; Actinomycetes; Kitasatosporales; Streptomycetaceae. The record is from RNAcentral.